This 415-nucleotide ribosomal RNA is filed under the name uncultured bacterium. RNAcentral's name for it is "bacterial SSU rRNA". It matches the Rfam family "Bacterial small subunit ribosomal RNA", at positions 771 to 1189 of the family's 1533-position model. The record is from RNAcentral.
AGCGAAUAGAUACCCGGGUAGUCCACGCCGUAAACGAUGGAUACUAGCUGUUCGGAGCAAUCUGAGUGGCUAAAAGCGAAAAAAGUGAUAAGUAUCCCACCUGGGGAGUACGCACGCAAGUGUGAAACUCAAAGGAAUUGACGGGGGCCGGCACAAGCGGUGGAGCAUGUGGUUUAAUUACGAUGAUACGCGAGGAACCUUACCAGGGCUUAAACUGUAGAUUGACAGGACUGGAAACAGUUUUUCUUCGGACAAUUUACAAGGUGCUGCAUGGUUGUCGUCAGCUCGUGCCGUGAGGUGUCAGGUUAAGUCCUAUAGCGAGCGCAACCCUGUCGUUAGUUGCCAGCGAGUCAUGUCGGGAACGUCUAACGAGACUGCCAGUGUAAACUGUGAGGAAGGUGGGGAUGACGUCAAA